CUUCCUUAUCUGUGAAAUGGAGGUUAUUAUGAGCAUGCGUGACACAUGGCGGGUGUUCAAGAAAACCCUUCUGGAUGGGUGUGGUGGCUCACACCUGUAAUCCAAGCACUUUGGGAGGCCAAGGAGGGAGGAUCGCUUGAGGCCAGGAGUUUGAGAUCAGCCUGGGAAACAAGACUCCAUCUCUUUAAAAAUAGGAAAAUUAACAAGGCAUGGUGUUUUGUUAAACCCAUGGUCCCAGCUGUUUGGGAGAUUACUUGAACCUAGGAGUUCAAGCCUGCAGUUAGCCAUGAUUGUGCCAGUGUACUCCUGCCUGGGUGACAUGGGAGACAGAGGUUGUAGUGAGCCGAGACUGUGCUAUUGCACUGCACCCUGGGUGACAAGAGGAGAAGUCCAUCUCAAAACAAACGGAAAUUCUGAGAUUCUUAUCUCGCCCCCACUCACUGCCUGCCAGCCUCAGGGGACCCCUUUCUCUGGCACCCUAAAGCACUUACCACUUUGGAGCCAUUGUGCCAGGCUGGAGUGCAAUGGCACAAUCUUGGCUCACUGCAACCUUUACCUCUUGGGUUCAAGUGAUUCUCCUACUUCAGCCUCCCAAGUGGCUGGGAUUACAGGCGCCCACUAACACGCCCAGCUAAUUUUUUUUGUAUUUUUAGUAGAGACAGAGUUCAUUAUGUUGGCCAGGCUGGUCUCAAAAUGCUGACUUUGUGAUCCACCCGCCUCGGCCUCCUAAAGUGCUGGGAUUAUAGGUGUGAGCCACCAUACCUGGCCAUUCUUACUUUAUAGCACUUAUUGUUGUCAGACAUAGCUUGUUUAUCAGCCUAAUUAUUUACUCUGUCUAUCCUCACUAGUAUCCAGUAGCUGCCAGAUUUAGCCUGGCACAUAGUGGGCAUUGUGUAUGUGUUUGCUGGAUGAACGAGGGGGUGGGUGCGUAGGUGGGUAUGUGGGUGAAUGAGUAACAGCUAAAGAGAUGUGUAGGUGAGGGAGUGGUUGGGAUGUAUUGUUAGCUGGGUUACAUGGAUGGGUUGGAUAAACGGGUAGGUGGGUGAAUGGAUGGGAUGAGAUAAAUGAGUGGGUGGGAUGGAUAGAUGAGUGGGUGGGUGGAUGAGCACCUAGGUGGAUGACGGGAUGGUAAGUAGGUGGGUGGAGGUAUGUAGCCAUAUAGAAGGGGAGAAACAGGACAAGCUUCACACCUGGACUGGCCUAGAUUUGAGUCCCAGGCUAGCUAUGAGGACACAGACAAGUCUUUUAACUUGGCUGCAAGUGAGCUGUGAUUACAUCACUGCAGUCCAGGAUGGGUAAGUGUCUGAGCCACUCUCUCAAAAAUAAAGUAAAUUUUAAAAGACUUUUUAUGUAUGUCUAAAAUAGAGCUAUCAUAUCUAUAUUUUAGAGUGGUUGUGAGGAUUAAGAAAACAAAGGUCUAGAAUUCUACUGGCACAUAGUAGGUACUCAAGAAAGGUUUGGCCUAAAGGUUUUCCCAUACAUAGUGAACUGUAAAUUACCUGGACUCCUACACAGACUGCAGCCUACUCAUGUGUCAAUCACUGAAUUUCAGCCAAUCAAAGGUAGCCAACUGUUUAAACCAUGUUCAAAUAAAGCAAACGCUGAGCUACAACCAAUCUGGCUGUUUCUGACCUCACUUCUGUUUUCUGUCCUCCACCUUCCUUUUUCUGUCCAUAUUCUGGUUCAGCAGCUACAUGAUGUGCAGAUCACUCUUUACUCAAUUAACCUCUGUCAGCCAGGUGCCUUGACCUGUGCCUGUAAUCCCAGCCCUUUGGGAGGCCGAGGCAGGCAGAUCCCCAGAGGUCAGGAGUUCAAGACCAGCCUGGCCAACAUGGCAAAACCCUGUCUCUACUAAAAAUACAAAAAUUAGCCGGGCCUUGUUGUGCACGCCUAUAGUCCCAGCUACUUGGAAGGCUAAAGCAUGAGAAUCUCUUGAACUCAGAAGGCAAAGGUUGCAGUGAGCUGGUAUCGUGCCACUGCACUCCGGCCUGAGGGACAGUGAGAGAUUAUGUCUCAGAAACAGAACAGAAUGAAACAAAAUUUUAGGCACAUUAAGUUAGACAGAUGUUAUGAUUAUUAUUUUUGAGAUGGAGUAUUGCUCUGUCGCCGAGGCCAGAGUGCAGUGGCACAAUCUCUGGUCACUGCAACCUCCACCUCGUGGGUUCAAGCAAUUCUUGUGCCUCAGCCUCCCGAGUGGCUGGGGCUACAGGCGUGCACCACCAGGCCUGGGUAAUUUUUGUAUUUUUAAUAGAGACAGUGUUUGGCCAUGUUGGCCAGGCUGGUCUCGAACUCCUGACCUCAGGUGAUCCACCUGCCUCUGCCUCCCACAGUGCUGGGAUUACAGGUGUGAGCCACCACACCCAGCCCUAAUGUAUCUAAAGGUUUUCUCCAAACAUGACUACCUAUCCAUCUGAUCUUACUUCGGAUUCUUGUGCGCCAUGAACACCGUGGGAUUGGUCUGUGUAUGAGAAGUGUCCUUAGGGUGGCUAGCUGGGAUGGGGGUCAGCCCCAGUGAUCCCCAGGGACUGAGGCCCCUCAGGAUCCUUGCUACCCUGCACCCCUGUAUAGAAGGCACUUAAGCUCGAAGCACCUGAUACCAGUGGCUUGUGGUUCUGCUUCCUAAGAUCCCGCUCAUUAAGAGGGGAGAGUAGCAGGCAGCAGGUCCCUCUGCUUCAGAGGGUGAGCUCAGCUGUCCCAGCUGGAGGGAGCUGAGUGAAAUGGGGACCGCAGGCCUCCUGCUGGCCUCUUGUCCAUGUGUUCUGGCCAACAGCAAGUGAGGCUGUGUGUAUAGACCCAAGCCCUGCGCAUAACCCACCUGUCAAAGCAGAAAUAACUGGGCCUGGCAUGGUGGUUAACAACUAAGGGGAGAGUCUUUCUUUGGAACCAGCCCUGCCCUACUGCAGCACUGUGACAACUCCAGCAAGCUGGCUUGGCCCCUUGAAGACAUCCAUCACGCUGGAAGGCACUUGUUCAUCCCAUGAACUGGCCCUAUGGGGAACUAAUCAUCUUGGCCAACUGGACCGAUUUUGGUGAAUUAUCCCUCAGCAGGGCGCCAUGGGGGGACUUCAGCAGGUGCUCCAUCCAUAAUGGUGCUGGUUGCCCCCUAACUGCCCGAGACACAGCUACAUCAGCCCCAGCCUGUGCCUUUCUGAGUGUGGCACCAUGGUGGACUCACCUCUCAGGUCUAUGCUCGGCCUCCUGCCUGCAAAGGAGUCUCUAGGGUCCUUGGUGCUGGUCCCAGGUUGUUUCUGCAAGGUCAAGAGAGUCCUGUCACACGACAUGGUCCAGAUACUCAGUGAAACCCACUGACCACGUGGCCUUAACUGCUCUGACCAUCCAUUUUCCCUGUUCUGGCUCCUGCCACCUCUCCAGCAACCUCAACACCCCACUCUGAGUUCUUCCAGGAACAUCAUUCAGGCAUUCACUCACUCAUUCAGUUUUUCCAUCAGUGAAUUGAGCACCUGCUGUGAACUUGAUUCACAGGUUGGAAAAGCUGUCAGGAGAAACACUGUAUAAAGUUAUCUCUGUUUCUCCUGACAGCCUUGCUCAAGAAGUUCCUUGUGUCUGGAAUGCUCUUUUCUGGCUUGCUCUUUUUUGCGCUCCCACCUACCCUCAGGUGCCAUCUCUCCCAGGAAGGACACCUCCCCACCACUAUCCCCCAGAUGUGGCCAGUAACUGAAGGCAGAGCUGUAGAAGUUUAACCACAGACCUGUAAGCAAGAAAUAACUGCUAGCGUUGGCUGCUGAGAGCUGGGGGGCUAUUUGUUACACAGCAUCAUUGCAGCAAAAGCUGACCAAUACAAACAGGCAAGUUCUAGCUUCAAGCUUCAGGACUGGGACAUUGUGAAUCAACACUUAGGGUUUUUAGCCAGGGUGGGCCAAUCCUAAGCAGAUGUUCUCAGAAGAGACAAAGUCUGAGCUUGAGGGAGACCUGGGUGAGUCCUUGCUCUGUCAAGCAGGGAUAGUAAAAAGCCUAGUAAUUAAAAAACACAUUGUCUGGAAUUAAGUUGGUUGGGUGCAAAUCCCAGUGCUGCUACUUAAAAGCCAUGUAAUCUGGAACUAGUUCCUUAACUUGUGGGCCUCAGUUUCCUCAUCUGUGAAAUGGAAAUGAUUCUAGUCCCAGCCCCACAGGGCAUCAUGUUGAUUCAGUGAGCUAAUACAUGUGAUGUGCUGCGAGUUGCUACUUUUCAUUGUGGGUGAGCUUGGCUUGGCAACUCUACUUCCAGAACCUUGUCACGUAUCCAGCGGACUCUGUGUUCUUUGGAUUAUUAGAAACUCUAGCUGGCAUGUUGUAGCUUUCUAGGCACCAAAACCUUGUGCUGUCUCCAUAGCAACUGCAAGCAUAGACUCUGGAGUUGGACACACUCAGGUUCAAACCUGGUGACCUUGGGCAACUAAUUUAACGCUCUUUGCUCAUCUGUAAAAUGACAGCAGUAACUUCACAUGCCUCUGAGGGCACUCUGAGAAGCAAAUGAAGUGGUGUAUUUUUUUACAGAAGCACUUAGCAUAGCCCCUGGGUCGUAGAUAGUGUUACUGGCUCUUCCUGGAGAGAGGUGACCUAUUGGAGAGCCAUCCGCUUCUGGGCAUGGGCCUGCAGGGAGGGUGUGACCAGAGCACGCCACUCUUGCCAGUAGGACCCUUUGAGCCUUUUUCCCCAAGGGUGGCAAGAGCCAGGCACGGAGAAUCAGCAAAGCCCACCUAGUACCUCCUUCUCCUCUCCUGGCUGUCUGGCUUGAUCCAGAAGACUCAUGAGGGCCCCCUUCUUGUGCAGAAGCUCCUGGUAGGAUCCCAUCUCUACAAUGGCCCCAUCUGCCAGCACCACGAUCCAAUCAGCCUAGGGCAGGAUGUGGAGUGUGUGGGUCAUGAGAAUCUGUGCCUGGGCAGGGAAAAGGUAGAAGUUAACACACAUGUGGCCACGUUCCAUGGCUCAUGCCUGUAAUCCCAGCACUUUGGGAGGCCAAGGCAGGUGGAUCACUUGAGGCCAGGAGUUCAAGACCAACCAGGUCGACAUGGCUAAGCCCUGUCUCUACUAAAAAUACUAAAAUGAGCUAGGUAUGGUGGCACACACACCUGUAGUCACAGCUACUUGGGAAACUGAGGCACAAGAAUCACUUGAAACUGGGAGGCAGAGGUUGCAGUCAGCUCAAAUUGCACCACUGCAUUCCAUCCUAGGUGAUAGAGCAAGACUCCGUCAAAAAGAAGGAAGGGAGAGAGAAAGAGGGAGGGAGGGGAAGGGAAAGAGGGAGGGAGGGGAAGGGAAAGA
Molecule: non-coding RNA, 5262 nt
Organism: Callithrix jacchus (white-tufted-ear marmoset)
Lineage: Eukaryota; Metazoa; Chordata; Mammalia; Primates; Cebidae
Source: RefSeq, a predicted model, not a curated record